UGAUACCACAUUGUUUAUUAGGACUUCGUUCAGCUGCUCCCCGUUCACUUGAAGCUCUGGCCACUUGAGAAUCUACGAGAACACAGAGUUUGGGUGCACCUUUAUGGUAUUCCUCCUAAAGGACCAGGGUUUAGUGCCGAGGGACUUGAUCAGAGGAAAAAGUGAAAGCAGCUGCCCCUUGGUCCUGGAGGAACUGACUGUUGGCUUGGGCAAUACACUUCCCAAAAGUUUACAGAACACUGGGCCCCUUCAUACCUAGAUAUAAUGUAGCUCAAGAGCAGGCUCUGCAGCGAGAACCUUUGAGCGUGUGUGUGAUUGUCCUUUCAGAGACUUCAUCAUGCAAGUGAACAGCAGUUGCCCAGAAAAGAACUCUCCGGAGGCCAAGGAAGUAACAGGUGGAAGCGGAGGCGCAUGCAGCUCUGCAGAUUAAACCUUGACCUGUGUGGCCAUUUCUGCUACGGGGGGACCGGUACCACCUCGCUGCUUGCCCCAAGGAAGAGCGCUGCCUACCUGGGCAGGUGCUGAGCAUCAGGAUAACUGGAGGCUGCAGAGGGAUUUUUCAGUUCCUGAAUUGUAGAGCAAGCAUAAGCUAUUCAGAAAGAUCCAGCCACUGCUUUAAGCGUUCUCCCAGAUGUGGGAGCCCCCAACUGCCCUGCAAAAAACCCUGCUGCCACCAGCCCUUGAGCAGGAAGCUCUCCUCCCUUUGCUUCGGCACUGCUGGGCCACGUGUGCUCUCAAGGAUGGGUCCAUCUGAUUUCCAGACCUGCUAACACAUGGGUCUACACCUCUAGCCCACAUUUUGGGGAAAGAUAAGUGAUUCUGGGAGACAUCUCCAUCCUGUGUAGCCCCCAAAAAUCUAAAGAAGAGGUAGUCACACCUCAUUCAGUCCCUCUGCUCAUCGUGCUGGCUUCAGCCUGCCACAUGCUGAGAUACCUGACUGUUGGUCUGGAUUGGGCCAUUGUGUUUAU
Falco peregrinus (peregrine falcon) is the source of this 968-nucleotide long non-coding RNA. RefSeq lists it as uncharacterized. The record is from RefSeq and is a predicted model, not a curated record. NCBI's taxonomy places the organism in Eukaryota, Metazoa, Chordata, Aves, Falconiformes, Falconidae. The transcript is spliced from 4 exons.